This 494-nucleotide ribosomal RNA is filed under the name uncultured bacterium. RNAcentral's name for it is "SSU rRNA". It matches the Rfam family "Bacterial small subunit ribosomal RNA", at positions 26 to 518 of the family's 1533-position model. The record is from RNAcentral.
AGAUUGAACGCUGGCGGCGUGCUUAACACAUGCAAGUCGAGCGGUAACGCGGGAGCAAUCCUGGCGAUGAGCGGCGAACGGGUGAGUAAUGCUUGGGAAUCUGCCCAUUAGUGAGGAACAACCAGCCGAAAGGUUGGCUAAUACCGCAUACGCCCUACGGGGGAAAGCGGGGGAUCGUAAGACCUCGCGCUAUUAGAUGAGCCGAAGUCGGAUUAGCUAGUUGGUAGGGUAACGGCCUACCAAGGCGACGAUCCGUAGCUGGUCUGAGAGGACGACCAGCCACACUGGGACUGAGACACGGCCCAGACUCCUACGGGAGGCAGCAGUGGGGAAUAUUGGACAAUGGGGGAAACCCUGAUCCAGCGACGCCGCGUGUGUGAAGAAGGCCUGCGGGUUGUAAAGCACUUUUAGUGGGGAUGAAAGCCUAGGGCUAAUACCCUUGGGUCUUGACCUAACCCAAGAAAAGCACCGGCUAACUCUGUGCCAGCAGCCGC